RNAcentral lists this ribosomal RNA (461 nucleotides) under uncultured bacterium. Its description in RNAcentral is "partial 16S ribosomal RNA". It matches the Rfam family "Bacterial small subunit ribosomal RNA", at positions 338 to 795 of the family's 1533-position model. The record is from RNAcentral.
CCUACGGGAGGCAGCAGUGAGGAAUAUUGGUCAAUGGGCGCGAGCCUGAACCAGCCAAGUAGCGUGAAUGAUGACUGCCCUACGGGUUGUAAACUUCUUUUAUAAAGGCAUAAAGUGAGGCACGUGUGACUUUUUGUAUGUACUUUAUGCAUAAAGAUCGGCUAACUCCGUGCCAGCAGCCGCGGUAAUACGGAGGAUCCGAGCGUUAUCCGGAUUUGUUGGGUUUAAAGGGAGCGUAAAUGGGUUGUUAAGUCAGUUGUGAAAGUUUGCGGCUAAACCGUAAAAUUGCAAUUGAUACUGGCAGCCUUGAGGACAGUUGAGGUAGGCGGAAUUCGUGGUGUAGCGGUGAAAUGCUUAGAUAUCACGAAGAACUCCGAUUGCGAAGGCAGCUUACUAAACUGCCACUGACAUUGAUGCUCGAAAGUGUGGGUAUCAAACAGGAUUAGAUACCCCUGGUAGUC